GAUGAACGCUAGCGGCAGGCUUAACACAUGCAAGUCGAGGGGUAAUUCUGCAGCAAUGUGGAAACGACCGGCGCACGGGUGAGUAACGCGUAUGCAACCUUCCUUUAACUGGGACAUAGCCCGGAGAAAUUCGGAUUAAUAUCCCAUAACAUCCCGAGAACGCAUGUUUUUGGGAUUAAAGCUACGGCGGUUAAAGAUGGGCAUGCGUACCAUUAGCUUGUUGGUGAGGUAACGGCUCACCAAGGCUACGAUGGUUAGGGGGUCUGAGAGGAUGAUCCCCCA
This 282-nucleotide ribosomal RNA is filed under the name uncultured Bacteroidota bacterium. Its description in RNAcentral is "uncultured Bacteroidetes bacterium partial 16S ribosomal RNA". It matches the Rfam family "Bacterial small subunit ribosomal RNA", at positions 28 to 310 of the family's 1533-position model. Lineage: Bacteria; Pseudomonadati; Bacteroidota. The record is from RNAcentral.